AACGAACGCUGGCGGCAUGCCUAACACAUGCAAGUCGAACGAGACCUUCGGGUCUAGUGGCGCACGGGUGCGUAACGCGUGGGAACAUGCCCUUAGGGUCGGAAUAACUCCCCGAAAGGGGUGCUAAUACCGGAUAAUGUCUUCGGACCAAAGAUUUUUCGCAUUUGGAUGGGCCCGCGUUGGAUUAGCUAUUGGGGAGGGUAAAAGCCUACCAAGGGGUCGAUACAUAACUGGUUUGAGAGGAUGAUCAGCCACACUGGGACUGAGACACGGCCCAGACUCUUACGCGAGGCAGCAGUGGGGAAUAUUGGACCAUGGGCGAAAGCCUGAUCCAGCAAUGCCGCGUGAGUGAUGAAGGCCUUAGGGUUGUAAAGCUCUUUUAACCGGGAUGAUAAUGACAGUACCGGGAGAAUAAGCUCCGGCUAACUCCGUG
This 433-nucleotide ribosomal RNA is filed under the name uncultured bacterium. RNAcentral describes it as "partial 16S ribosomal RNA". It matches the Rfam family "Bacterial small subunit ribosomal RNA", at positions 29 to 507 of the family's 1533-position model. The record is from RNAcentral.